AAGCUGGAAUCGCUAGUAAUCGCAGAUCAGAAUGCUGCGGUGAAUACGUUCCCGGGUCUUGUACACACCGCCCGUCACACCAUGGGAGUCAGUAACGCCCGAAGUCAGUGACCUAACCGCAAGGGAGGAGCUGCCGAAGGCGGGACCGAUAACUGGGGUGAAGUCGUAACAAGGUACC
This 178-nucleotide ribosomal RNA is filed under the name uncultured bacterium. RNAcentral describes it as "partial 16S ribosomal RNA". It matches the Rfam family "Bacterial small subunit ribosomal RNA", at positions 1323 to 1500 of the family's 1533-position model. The record is from RNAcentral.